GAAGUAAGCCAGACAGCCGCUGGCCGGCGUUGCAAUGCGCCGGCGGGAGGAAGGUCCGGACUCCAUAGAGCAGGGUGACGGUUAACGGCCGUCCGCCGUGAGGCGAGGAAUAGGGCCACAGAGACGAGCGUAUUAAGUUACGGUGAAACGCGGUAACCUCCACCCGGAGCAAUCUCAAAUAGGCACGCGUUGAUGUUGCUCGCGGAGCGUGCGGGUAGAGAGCUUGAGCGCUGGAGCAAUCCAGCGCCUAGAGGAAUGGUUGUCAUAACGCGAGGGCGCAAGCCUGGGCGUCGUAACAGAAUCCGGCCUAUCGGCUUACUUCAUUU
Non-coding RNA from Collimonas fungivorans Ter331, 326 nucleotides. It matches the Rfam family "Bacterial RNase P class A". Rfam says of the family: Ribonuclease P (RNase P) is a ubiquitous endoribonuclease, found in archaea, bacteria and eukarya as well as chloroplasts and mitochondria. Its best characterised activity is the generation of mature 5'-ends of tRNAs by cleaving the 5'-leader elements of precursor-tRNAs. The record is from Rfam. NCBI's taxonomy places the organism in Bacteria, Pseudomonadati, Pseudomonadota, Betaproteobacteria, Burkholderiales, Oxalobacteraceae.